AUCACUUCUCGGCCUUUUGGCUAAGAUCAAGUGUAAGCACUGAAUCAUAAAAUUAUAAAACAACCUUUUUGGAAAUAGUAUAUACUUCUGCCAGCGAUGCUGCCUUUGUUCACACCUGGGGCCUGUUAGCCUCAUGCUUACUUAAGCCUGUACUCAGUCGUCCCGGGAUACUUU
Molecule: small nuclear RNA, 174 nt
Filed under: Mustela putorius furo (domestic ferret)
Lineage: Eukaryota; Metazoa; Chordata; Mammalia; Carnivora; Mustelidae
Description: U2 spliceosomal RNA
Rfam family: U2 spliceosomal RNA
About the family: U2 is a small nuclear RNA (snRNA) component of the spliceosome (involved in pre-mRNA splicing). Complementary binding between U2 snRNA (in an area lying towards the 5' end but 3' to hairpin I) and the branchpoint sequence (BPS) of the intron results the bulging out of an unpaired adenosine, on the BPS, which initiates a nucleophilic attack at the intronic 5' splice site, thus starting the first of two transesterification reactions that mediate splicing.
Source: Rfam by way of RNAcentral